RNAcentral lists this ribosomal RNA (445 nucleotides) under uncultured bacterium. RNAcentral describes it as "partial 16S ribosomal RNA". It matches the Rfam family "Bacterial small subunit ribosomal RNA", at positions 354 to 796 of the family's 1533-position model. The record is from RNAcentral.
GUGAGGAAUAUUGGUCAAUGGGCGGGAGCCUGAACCAGCCAAGUCGCGUGAAGGAAGAAGGAUCUAUGGUUCGUAAACUUCUUUUGCAGGGGAAUAAAGUGCGGGACGUGUCCUGUUUUGUAUGUACCCUGAGAAUAAGGAUCGGCUAACUCCGUGCCAGCAGCCGCGGUAAUACGGAGGAUCCGAGCGUUAUCCGGAUUUAUUGGGUUUAAAGGGUGCGUAGGUGGUUUGAUAAGUCAUCGGUGAAAGUUUGCAGCUUAACUGUAAAAAUGCCGUUGAAACUGUCGGACUUGAGUGUAAAUGAGGUAGGCGGAAUGCGUGGUGUAGCGGUGAAAUGCAUAGAUAUCACGCAGAACUCCGAUUGCGAAGGCAGCUUACUAAGCUACAACUGACACUGAAGCACGAAAGCGUGGGGAUCAAACAGGAUUAGAUACCCGAGUAGUCC